GACGAACGCUGGCGGCGUGCUUAACACAUGCAAGUCGAACGCUGAAGCUUGGUGCUUGCACUGGGUGGAUGAGUGGCGAACGGGUGAGUAAUACGUGAGUAACCUGCCCUUGACUCUGGGAUAAGCCUGGGAAACUGGGUCUAAUACUGGAUAUGACAUGCCACUGCAUGGUGGUGUGUGGAAAGGGUUUUACUGGUAUUGGAUGGGCUCACGGCCUAUCAGCUUGUUGGUGGGGUAAUGGCCUACCAAGGCGACGACGGGUAGCCGGCCUGAGAGGGUGACCGGCCACACUGGGACUGAGACACGGCCCAGACUCCUACGGGAGGCAGCAGUGGGGAAUAUUGCACAAUGGGCGGAAGCCUGAUGCAGCGACGCCGCGUGAGGGAUGACGGCCUUCGGGUUGUAAACCUCUUUCAGCACGGAAGAAGCGAGAGUGACGGUACGUGCAGAAGAAGCGCCGGCUAACUACGUG
This 472-nucleotide ribosomal RNA is filed under the name uncultured bacterium. Its description in RNAcentral is "partial 16S ribosomal RNA". It matches the Rfam family "Bacterial small subunit ribosomal RNA", at positions 28 to 507 of the family's 1533-position model. The record is from RNAcentral.